Non-coding RNA from Nicotiana tabacum (common tobacco), 245 nucleotides. NCBI's taxonomy places the organism in Eukaryota, Viridiplantae, Streptophyta, Magnoliopsida, Solanales, Solanaceae. The record is from RefSeq and is a predicted model, not a curated record.
GGAGAAAGUUGCAUCCCAUAGUCAUGAUGAACCAGCUAAGCCAGCUGCCAUUUUGCAGAAAUCGGCAGAAUUUUUUUGUGCACGUGACCAAAGGAAAGAGUCAACUAUCUAUUUUUUUGUAUUGGAGGUUUCUGAGAAGCAUGGACAAGUUGAAACAUCUGGACAGCAGUACUCCUUCAAGGUUUUGCGCAUACUGAAUGAACAAAGUGGAGAAGAGCGAGUUUUGCAAUUGACGGAUGAGUGGU